AGAUAAAUCAAUGGACUUUUAAAAUUCCAGUUUUACUACUAUGUGGAAUUCACUACAAUGGAGUUGAGGAGAUGGUUUCAAGAGAAGAUGAAAUAAUUGGAGUAAGACCAACUGGAUCAAGCCUAAGUCUGGAUAAGAAGCUCAUGGGGGAGCCCAGGAGUCUGCUGAGAGCACCUGCAAACCGACAUUUGGGUGAAUCUGUUUCACUGUACCACUGGCUGCUCCUCAUGAAUCUCCGCCUGGUGUACUCCUCAUCUGCUUGGGCCUCCACACCCAGCUGCUCAUUUCAACUAAAAGGAGCUGGUACCUUCAGGUAGACCAGCUCUAGUUGCUGAUGGGGCCACUUACUGUUUGUUUAUUCUCUGCAAGUUACUUUGAUUCUCUCAGCUUUAGUUUUUCUUGUCAAAUGGGACUUGUUUUGAAGUUCAUUCAAGUGAUUUUUGAAAAGCACCCAACGGUCCUAGUCCUGUCAUCUGCAAGGGAGUGACUAAAAGAACAACUCUGAGGACAGACAGCCUGAUGAUUGGUGAAGUGAAUGUGAGCAGGUUACUUCACCUUCCUAGGCCUCAGUUUCCUCAUUUGCAACUUGUGACUAAUAAAGAUGCUAUCCCUUGGAGUAGUUGUCAAGAUUAAAUGUGUCAAAAUAUGUGAAAUGCUGGGGACAUAGCUCAGUUGGUAGAGUGCUUGCCUUGCAUGCACAAGGCCCUGGGUUCUAAUACCCAGCACCACCACAAAAAAAAAAAAAAAAGUCAAUAUGUGUGAAGUGGCAAAAAAUCUACUUGGUAAGUGGUAUAAAAGUGCCCUUUCUCAUUGCUAAGCUGAUGGGGUUGGCUCUGGUUAGUUUUCACUCAGCGUAGCCUUCACUGAACCUGCUAAGGGCAAAGUCCAUUUUGUUCAAUUCGGGCAACACAAAGAUAAGCAAUGACCUAGCAAUUUGGGGUCUCCUGGGGUCUCCACAUACGGACAGAAGCCAAGGGAAAAGGUUCUUUCCCUCCAUGAGACUGCGUUGUCCUCCUUGUACCAGAGGCACAGGGAGGGAAGCUCUUGGGUACCCUCCCCACUGGUUUGCUGUUUGCUUCUUGAAUGCACAUGUUAAUUGAAAUCACAGCUCUGAGGGGGGUUCACAGCUCUGAGGGGGGUUCACAGCCCCAGGGGCAUCCCUAAAUCUCUGGCUAGCAAGUGGGAGGCCUGAGCCGGGAGGACCUGCAUCUAGUCUGCUAGUCAGUGGCUUGGAGACACCAACUCCUCGAGGGGCUUGUGGUCUGAAGCACACAGACCCCCAGGAGCUAAAUACCCCAGGAGUGAGUGGCUCAUAGUAUGAGUAGGGGUGAGAGGCAGAAGAAACCACAGUGACACAUUGAAAGAUUCCUUGCUGACCUCAGGUUGUCACACAAGAUGAAGCAGCGCUGCAGGCUUUCCACCAGGUGUGGUGGCAGUGUGUGCUGGUGUACGCACACGCAUGCGUACACUCGUGCUAUAAUGACCUCCACGGAAACCUCCUCUGCCAUCCUUCCCAUCCACACAGUUGGAGCAAUUAGGUAGGACUUGGGUGGAAUGAUUCAUGCUUCAAUAAAUUCAAUUUCAACAAAACAUAAUUAUGGUGAGUCACCUAAUCGCAGCUGUAAUCAUGGCCCACCCCUCCAGAAGUCAAAACAGUUGAGGGCAUUCAGCAAGGACAGCUGAGCCCUCAGGAUGACUGAAGCCUCCACCUUUUGCCAAGCAGCCAUUUUUGGGACUCCAAUUUCUUUCUAAUUUUUCAAAUUACAGAAUAUUUCAGGCAUACAUAAGGGUGCAAUGAAUAGUCUGGCGAGUGCUGUGUAUACACUAAUUGCCGUAGAAAUAAACAUUGCAAAUAUGGUUCCCAUUUCCCAGUUUUCUCAAGAGACACAGCAGUAUUUGAUUUUGGUAUUUAUCAUUCUCACAACUGCCUUUAUAGGGCUACNUAAGCAAUGACCUAGCAAUUUGGGGUCUCCUGGGGUCUCCACAUACGGACAGAAGCCAAGGGAAAAGGUUCUUUCCCUCCAUGAGACUGCGUUGUCCUCCUUGUACCAGAGGCACAGGGAGGGAAGCUCUUGGGUACCCUCCCCACUGGUUUGCUGUUUGCUUCUUGAAUGCACAUGUUAAUUGAAAUCACAGCUCUGAGGGGGGUUCACAGCUCUGAGGGGGGUUCACAGCCCCAGGGGCAUCCCUAAAUCUCUGGCUAGCAAGUGGGAGGCCUGAGCCGGGAGGACCUGCAUCUAGUCUGCUAGUCAGUGGCUUGGAGACACCAACUCCUUGAGGGGCUUGUGGUCUGAAGCACACAGACCCCCAGGAGCUAAAUACCCCAGGAGUGAGUGGCUCAUAGUAUGAGUAGGGGUGAGAGGCAGAAGAAACCACAGUGACACAUUGAAAGAUUCCUUGCUGACCUCAGGUUGUCACACAAGAUGAAGCAGCGCUGCAGGCUUUCCACCAGGUGUGGUGGCAGUGUGUGCUGGUGU
This 2477-nucleotide long non-coding RNA is filed under the name Marmota monax (woodchuck). The stretch from base 658 to 731 matches the Rfam family "tRNA". The record is from RNAcentral. Lineage: Eukaryota; Metazoa; Chordata; Mammalia; Rodentia; Sciuridae.